RNAcentral lists this transfer RNA (73 nucleotides) under Mycobacterium triviale. It matches the Rfam family "tRNA". From Rfam's summary of the family: Transfer RNA (tRNA) molecules are approximately 80 nucleotides in length. Their secondary structure includes four short double-helical elements and three loops (D, anti-codon, and T loops). RNAcentral also lists the same sequence under 4 other names. Lineage: Bacteria; Bacillati; Actinomycetota; Actinomycetes; Mycobacteriales; Mycobacteriaceae. The record is from Rfam by way of RNAcentral.
GCGCCCGUAGCUCAACGGAUAGAGCAUCUGACUACGGAUCAGAAGGUUGGGGGUUCGAAUCCCUCCGGGCGUG